This 419-nucleotide long non-coding RNA is filed under the name Sinocyclocheilus anshuiensis. RNAcentral describes it as "lncRNA (ENSSANG00000043401.1)". Lineage: Eukaryota; Metazoa; Chordata; Actinopteri; Cypriniformes; Cyprinidae. The record is from RNAcentral.
CGCAGAGUAUCAGAGUCUGAGUAUUAUUUAGUUUUUCGCAGAAUAUCAGAAACUUUCAGUUCUCAGAAUCGAAGCCCCUUUGCUGUUUAAUACGCAUCUUCUCAUUAUAUAAAAAUCCCCCUGAAGCUCAGACGGCACAACAUUAGCAGGGAUCUCAGAGUUGUGAUGGACGUUUCUUCUCUUCAGCUCAACACAAGAUAGAGAUGGAGUGUAGAAAUGAGAUAACACAGAGAAAACUGCUGGAGUAUCAGAAUCCAGAUAGGAAAUAAAUCAACAGGACAGAGAGAAAAAUGGAGGCCAGAAAUGAGACACAAACCAGUGAAACACAAGAGAAAAGCAGACGGACGCUUGUUAGAUGUGACAGUAUGAAGAUAAAAAAACCAGACUUCUCACGUGAUCCAGACGGACCUGUAAACUUU